Molecule: ribosomal RNA, 636 nt
Filed under: Cupriavidus sp.
Lineage: Bacteria; Pseudomonadati; Pseudomonadota; Betaproteobacteria; Burkholderiales; Burkholderiaceae
Description: bacterial SSU rRNA
Rfam family: Bacterial small subunit ribosomal RNA
Source: RNAcentral
GGAACGUGCCCUGUCGUGGGGGAUAACUAGUCGAAAGAUUAGCUAAUACCGCAUACGACCUGAGGGUGAAAGCGGGGGACCGUAAGGCCUCGCGCGACAGGAGCGGCCGAUGUCUGAUUAGCUAGUUGGUGGGGUAAAGGCCUACCAAGGCGACGAUCAGUAGCUGGUCUGAGAGGACGAUCAGCCACACUGGGACUGAGACACGGCCCAGACUCCUACGGGAGGCAGCAGUGGGGAAUUUUGGACAAUGGGGGCAACCCUGAUCCAGCAAUGCCGCGUGUGUGAAGAAGGCCUUCGGGUUGUAAAGCACUUUUGUCCGGAAAGAAAGCCUUUGCCCUAAUACGGUGGGGGGAUGACGGUACCGGAAGAAUAAGCACCGGCUAACUACGUGCCAGCAGCCGCGGUAAUACGUAGGGUGCGAGCGUUAAUCGGAAUUACUGGGCGUAAAGCGUGCGCAGGCGGUUUGAUAAGACAGGCGUGAAAUCCCCGAGCUUAACUUGGGAAUGGCGCUUGUGACUGUCAGGCUAGAGUAUGUCAGAGGGGGGUAGAAUUCCACGUGUAGCAGUGAAAUGCGUAGAGAUGUGGAGGAAUACCGAUGGCGAAGGCAGCCCCCUGGGACGUCACUGACGCUCAUGC